This 460-nucleotide ribosomal RNA is filed under the name uncultured bacterium. RNAcentral describes it as "partial 16S ribosomal RNA". It matches the Rfam family "Bacterial small subunit ribosomal RNA", at positions 338 to 795 of the family's 1533-position model. The record is from RNAcentral.
CCUACGGGUGGCAGCAGUGAGGAAUAUUGGUCAAUGGACGAGAGUCUGAACCAGCCAAGUCGCGUGAAGGAUGACUGCCCUAUGGGUUGUAAACUUCUUUUAUCAAGGAAUAAAACGCGGCACGUGUGCCUUUUUGCGUGUACUUUGUGAAUAAGGAUCGGCUAACUCCGUGCCAGCAGCCGCGGUAAUACGGAGGAUCCGAGCGUUAUCCGGAUUUAUUGGGUUUAAAGGGAGCGUAGAUGGGUUGUUAAGUCAGUUGUGAAAGUGUGCGGCUCAAACGUAAAAUUGCAAUUGAUACUGGCAGUCUUGAGUACAGGUGAGGUAGGCGGAAAUCGUGGUGUAGCGGUGAAAUGCUUAGGUAUCACGAAGAACCCCGAUUGCGAAGGCAGCUGAAUAAACGGUGACUGACAUUGAUGCUCGAAAGGGUGGGUAUCAAACAGGAAUAGAAACCCUGGUAGUC